CUACGGGUGGCUGCAGUGGGGAAUAUUGGACAAUGGGCGAAAGCCUGAUCCAGCCAUGCCGCGUGUGUGAAGAAGGCCUUCGGGUUGUAAAGCACUUUCAGUGGGGAAGAAAGCCUUGGGGCUAAUACCCUCGAGGAAGGACAUCACCCACAGAAGAAGCACCGGCUAACUCCGUGCCAGCAGCCGCGGUAAUACGGAGGGUGCGAGCGUUAAUCGGAAUUACUGGGCGUAAAGCGCGCGUAGGCGGUCUGAUAAGCCGGUUGUGAAAGCCCCGGGCUCAACCUGGGAACGGCAUCCGGAACUGUCAGGCUAGAGUGCAGGAGAGGAAGGUAGAAUUCCCGGUGUAGCGGUGAAAUGCGUAGAGAUCGGGAGGAAUACCAGUGGCGAAGGCGGCCUUCUGGACUGACACUGACGCUGAGGUGCGAAAGCGUGGGUAGCAAACAGGAUUAGAUACCCGGGUAGUC
RNAcentral lists this ribosomal RNA (464 nucleotides) under Vreelandella stevensii. RNAcentral's name for it is "partial 16S ribosomal RNA". It matches the Rfam family "Bacterial small subunit ribosomal RNA", at positions 339 to 795 of the family's 1533-position model. The record is from RNAcentral. Lineage: Bacteria; Pseudomonadati; Pseudomonadota; Gammaproteobacteria; Oceanospirillales; Halomonadaceae.